AUUGAACGCUGGCGGCAGGCUUAACACAUGCAAGUCGAGCGGAGAUGAGGUGCUUGCACCUUAUCUUAGCGGCGGACGGGUGAGUAAUGCUUAGGAAUCUGCCUAUUAGUGGGGGACCAUAUUCCGAAAGGAAUGCUAAUACCGCAUACGUCCUACGGGAGAAAGCAGGGGAUCCUCGGACCUUGCGCUACUAGAUGAGCCUAAGUCGGAUGAGCUAGUUGGUGGGGUAAAGGCCUACCAAGGCGACGAUCUGUGGCGGGUCUGAGAGGAUGAUCCGCCACACUGGGACUGAGACACGGCCCAGACUCCUACGGGAGGCAGCAGUGGGGAAUAUUGGACAAUGGGGGGAACCCUGAUCCAGCCAUGCCGCGUGUGUGAAGAGGGCCUUAUGGUUGUAAAGCACUUUAAGCGAGGAGGAGGCUACUGAGACUAAUACUCUUGGAUAGUGGACGUUACUCGCAGAAUAAGCACCGGCUAACUCUGUGCCAGCCGCCGCGGUAA
RNAcentral lists this ribosomal RNA (501 nucleotides) under uncultured bacterium. Its description in RNAcentral is "partial 16S ribosomal RNA". It matches the Rfam family "Bacterial small subunit ribosomal RNA", at positions 30 to 523 of the family's 1533-position model. The record is from RNAcentral.